Capsicum annuum is the source of this 107-nucleotide non-coding RNA. Lineage: Eukaryota; Viridiplantae; Streptophyta; Magnoliopsida; Solanales; Solanaceae. The record is from Rfam.
UGAUGGUAAUGAGGAUAAUUUCUAAGCAUGCCCUUGAAUCUCUCCCAAGCUUGGUAGAGAUUUUCUCCAUCUUUUUAUCUAAAACUCUAUAUCUUACUCCUCAAUCA